GUAGGGAAUAUUGGGCAAUGGUCGGAAGACUGACCCAGCCAUGCCGCGUGCAGGAAGACGGCCCUCUGGGUUGUAAACUGCUUUUAUCUGGGAAGAAAAAGGCCAUGCGUGGCAAAUUGCCGGUACCAGAUGAAUAAGCACCGGCUAACUCCGUGCCAGCAGCCGCGGUAAUACGGAGGGUGCGAGCGUUGUCCGGAUUUAUUGGGUUUAAAGGGUGCGUAGGCGGCUGAUUAAGUCAGCGGUGAGAGACUUCGGCUUAACCGGAGCAGUGCCGUUGAUACUGGUUGGCUUGAGUGUCGGAGGGGUACAUGGAAGUGAUGGUGUAGCGGUGAAAUGCAUAGAUACCAUCAGGAACACCGAUAGCGAAGGCAUUGUACUGGCCGACAACUGACGCUGAUGCACGAAAGUGUGGGGAUCGAACAGGAUUAGAUACCCUUGUAGUCC
RNAcentral lists this ribosomal RNA (444 nucleotides) under uncultured bacterium. Its description in RNAcentral is "partial 16S ribosomal RNA". It matches the Rfam family "Bacterial small subunit ribosomal RNA", at positions 354 to 796 of the family's 1533-position model. The record is from RNAcentral.